GAUGAACGCUAGCUACAGGCUUAACACAUGCAAGUCGAGGGGCAGCAUGAACUUAGCUUGCUAAGUUUGAUGGCGACCGGCGCACGGGUGAGUAACACGUAUCCAACCUGCCGAUGACUCGGGGAUAGCCUUUCGAAAGAAAGAUUAAUACCCGAUGGCAUAGUUCUUCCGCAUGGUAGAACUAUUAAAGAAUUUCGGUCAUCGAUGGGGAUGCGUUCCAUUAGGUUGUUGGCGGGGUAACGGCCCACCAAGCCUUCGAUGGAUAGGGGUUCUGAGAGGAAGGUCCCCCACAUUGGAACUGAGACACGGUCCAAACUCCUACGGGAGGCAGCAGUGAGGAAUAUUGGUCAAUGGACGAGAGUCUGAACCAGCCAAGUAGCGUGAAGGAUGAAGGUCCUACGGAUUG
Molecule: ribosomal RNA, 406 nt
Filed under: uncultured bacterium
Lineage: Bacteria
Description: bacterial SSU rRNA
Rfam family: Bacterial small subunit ribosomal RNA
Source: RNAcentral